This is a long non-coding RNA of Drosophila gunungcola (fruit fly), 1008 nucleotides long. RefSeq lists it as uncharacterized. The record is from RefSeq and is a predicted model, not a curated record. The transcript has 3 exons. NCBI's taxonomy places the organism in Eukaryota, Metazoa, Arthropoda, Insecta, Diptera, Drosophilidae.
UUUUUUUUGUCAAAAACGUAAAAGGGAAAACAUUCUUUACAAGCAACCUUUGAACAAGCAACUUUUUAUUAUAGCUCCUUGUUUGACUUUAUAAUUGCCGAUUGGCCAUUUGAUACUCAAAAAUAAUAAGAAAAGAUGCCCUCAUUCAUGGCCAUGUUCGCCAGCCAACUUCUGUAGAAUUGUGCGUGUGGCCGAGAAGAAGGGGUCAGAACCGAAGUGGGCAUUCAUUCUCGGUGCAAUUUUUAUGGGUUUUGUGUUUUCGGUAUAUGUUUUCUUGUUUGUCUCUUUGCCGCCAACGUCAUCGUCUUGAUUUAUUGGCCGACUUCUUAAAGCAGAGCCGCUGGUUUUACGAUCUGUCCGGAGUGGGAGAAGUGGCAUUUUAUAUACCCGGCUUAAAGUCCGGUAGCCACUCGGAAGGGCACUACUCUAACCGUCUUGGUUUGAGGGUCAAUACAGAGCAUCGGCGGAAACAGGUGAGAGAAAUUGUUCUGCUGGUUCGACCUGAAUGCAAAUGAUUGUGACUGAUGCCAACAUAAACAAACGGGAUCAGCCUGGAUCGCACCACGAGGUGCAUCGUCUCCCACUGGAGUCACCACCCCUACCACUGGUCUUAUAAAUUAUGACUCUGGAGCCCAACACAUGCAGCGAUGUGGCGUUGGCUCUGGCCCGAGCAUUGGGGAAAUUAAACAGAUUUUUAUUUGCAAAUCAGAUAAGAGAUCAUGCCACGGAGCAGCGGCCAGAUACGAAUACGCGUUUGCCCAGAUAAACAGAUGAACAGAUACUCAGAUACAAAAUCGGGCUAAAGCUGGCUCAAUAUUUAUCGGUCGCGUGAGCGUGUUACCUAAUUGAUGACAACAGGUAGGCGCUUCUGUCAAGCCUAGUCUUAUGAUGGGAUCUGCGGAUCGCAUCCCCGCUAGCUUAUGAUAACCAGGCACGCAAGGCGACAACUGGGCAGCUGGGAGCAGAGCAGCAGGAGAUCCAAGUCAACUACUGUUUGGCCAGGAAUGU